RNAcentral lists this ribosomal RNA (484 nucleotides) under uncultured bacterium. RNAcentral's name for it is "partial 16S ribosomal RNA". It matches the Rfam family "Bacterial small subunit ribosomal RNA", at positions 30 to 507 of the family's 1533-position model. The record is from RNAcentral.
AUUGAACGCUGGCGGCAGGCCUAACACAUGCAAGUCGAGCGGAUGAAGGGAGCUUGCUCCUGGAUUCAGCGGCGGACGGGGGAGUAAUGCCUAUGAAUCUGCCUGGUAGUGGGGGGUAACGUCCGGAGACGGGCGCUAUUACAGCACACGUGCUGUGCGGGAAAGAGGGGGAUCUUCGGACCUCACGCGCUCUGGGGAUCCUAGGUCGGAUUAGCUAGUUGGUGGGGUAAAGGCCUACCAAGGCGACGAUCCGUAACUGGUCUGAGAGGAUGAUCAGUCACACUGGAACUGAGACACGGCCCAGACUCCUACGGGAGGCAGCAGUGGGGAAUAUUGGACAAAGGGCGAAAGCCUGAUCCAGCAAUGCCGCGUGUGUGAAGAAGGUCUUCGGAUUGUAAAGCACUUUAAGUUGGGAGGAAAGGCAGUAAGCUAAUACCUUGCUGUUUUGACGUUACCAGAAGAAUAAGCACCGGCUAACUUCGUG